This 365-nucleotide ribosomal RNA is filed under the name Escherichia coli. RNAcentral describes it as "bacterial SSU rRNA". It matches the Rfam family "Bacterial small subunit ribosomal RNA", at positions 330 to 687 of the family's 1533-position model. The record is from RNAcentral. Lineage: Bacteria; Pseudomonadati; Pseudomonadota; Gammaproteobacteria; Enterobacterales; Enterobacteriaceae.
UCCAGACUCCUACGGGAGGCAGCAGUGGGGAAUAUUGCACAAUGGGCGCAAGCCUGAUGCAGCCAUGCCGCGUGUAUGAAGAAGGCCUUCGGGUUGUAAAGUACUUUCAGCGGGGAGGAAGGGAGUAAAGUUAAUACCUUUGCUCAUUGACGUUACCCGCAGAAGAAGCACCGGCUAACUCCGUGCCAGCAGCCGCGGUAAUACGGAGGGUGCAAGCGUUAAUCGGAAUUACUGGGCGUAAAGCGCACGCAGGCGGUUUGUUAAGUCAGAUGUGAAAUCCCCGGGCUCAACCUGGGAACUGCAUCUGAUACUGGCAAGCUUGAGUCUCGUAGAGGGGGGUAGAAUUCCAGGUGUAGCGGUGAAAU